Molecule: long non-coding RNA, 4350 nt
Filed under: Gallus gallus (chicken)
Lineage: Eukaryota; Metazoa; Chordata; Aves; Galliformes; Phasianidae
Source: RNAcentral
UACCGCUUCCUACCCAAAAUGUCUUGGAAAAAGUUUUUACUGGGAUGUGCUUUCUGUUCUAAGCAAAUGUUUCAGGUUUUAUCUCCUUUUCACAAAAAAACCCCUGCAAAACUACAGUCUUCAUAGGCAAGAAUUUCUCUGGCUUGCUGUAAGAUGUUUAAGCUUUGGGAUGGUCAAGGAUGGACCAAGUGGAAGGCUGUGAUCGUAACUUGCAUUACUGCUGUAUGUAUUGCAUAUAGUAUGUGUUUGUACGCGUGUUCUCACUGUUUUGCAAAACAGUGAUGGGGAAAUGCAUCACUUUAUAAGAGAAGAAGUGUGCAGUGGAUUUUUGUUGACAUCCCAUUUGAAAGUAAAGCCCCUAACACAAAAGAAGCAAGCUGCCUUUAGACUGCAUUUACUGCUCUUGAUGACUCCAGUUGUGUGUAAAUAUUAGAAAACAGCAGGGUCCUGCAUUCCAAGCAUCACUUGAGCAGUGCCAUGAAGACAAGUGUCCUUACUGGUAUUGUAGUCAUACUCCCAAGCUCUCCUGCUGUUUCUAAUCUGUGUGCACAGCCGUGAAAAAACUGGACUGACAUUUACAGGCACAGCAGGGAGACACUUGAGUAGGGAAUGUUAAAGAUUCUGCUACCUAUGUUUCAAAGUGGCCACCAUACAUGAUAAAUCUUCACAGGAGAACUAGUUGGCACUUCAACUGAUGGUGUAAUGAGGAUAUUGAUAAUGAAGCAGAGAAUGCUUCUUUUAGUGCUUGAACAUUUAGCAGACAGAUUGUUAGUAUUUUUUUUCUCUAAAAUAUCUGGAGAGAGAAUCAAAUUGGGCGUAGGUAUAUUUUUCAGAUGGUACUGGUUUGAUGUUUUUUUUUUUUGAGAAUAUUUCUUAGUAACUUUAAAUCAAAUAAUUCCUCAUAACUAUUGCAUCUGGCAUUAAGGGAGGGGGGUCAGUUGCUUUCCUGAGUAGUUUGACAGACUUUACUCACUGUUUUGUCCCAGUGAGCUGACAGAUUUGGGAUGCUAUAAUACCAGUAAUGCAAUUAGGUUUUCUGCACGUUGUCUGGUUGACUUCUCAGUUAAGAGUUUCUUUCCCUUUGGGAAUAAGACUAGACAGACUGUCAUUUGCUAUUACUAAUUCUGCUUAGCAUUAUCACUGGAGCUUUUUUGUAAUUAGCUAUCUUAGUUGGCUCUUAAAUUUUAAUAGCCAAUUGAAGCUACAUUUUAGCCAAGUUCCAUAUCUAAAUUGCAUUCAGUCCAUUAACAAAGUUGGUUAAAAGGCUAUUAAAACAAAAGCCAAUAUAUGGUGGUUAGCACUUACAUGUUUCUAGCAGUAGCAAUACCAGCCUCCAAUGAAUAUUUUCAAGAAAUGGUACUUCCUUCUAGCAAAGGAAGUGCACAAAGAAUGACCAAACAGCAUUUUGGAAACAAAGGCUGAUUAUGCAGAAUACUUUCAGGAAAAAAAUAAAUUGAAGCGUGUCUUUUCUUGAAGAAAGUGGGAAAGGCUGGUGGGUGAUGCAGAAGGGGGCAAUUAAUAGCUCUGCUCAGAUUUGACAGGUUCUGGAAAAGCCAAAUAAAGUGAUGUUUUUCUCCAUUUCAGCUGAUCAAAAUUAUUAGCAAAACCAUCUGAAGCACCUUCUGGUGGAAUUGUCAUCUUGCUGAGUUUAGUUUGUAAAACAUCCUGCCAGACAUUAAAAAAACUGUAAGCAUGCCAGCACAUAGGCUCAGAGCACUGCUUUUCUAAUUGAUAGACCCUAUAAUUUUCUUUUUUUUCUGAAGAUCGUGGCUGGAUACCUCAGCCUCCUGAGUAAUUUAAUGUAACACCAACCUGAAUUUUUUAUUCCUAGUAGCACAUGUUUAAAUUAGAUUUUUCUCCUCUUUUUUUUUUUUUUUUUUUUUCAUUCUUAAGGUGUAGACAGGAGAUUAACAGCCUUUGGAACAUCCUAUAACAAAUAACAUCUUAGACAUUUCUGUUUCUUAAAAACAUCUAUCUUUACUGUUUUGAGGAUGCUAGACUAGUACUGAUACAGGCUACAGUUUUAAUAGAGAGUCUACCGGUUGAUAUUUGCUUGAAGGGUGAUUUGCAGUGCCCUGUAUGGGUGAUUAUACGUUAGUACCAGUUGCUUCAUUGUGAGUGGUGUGAGGCAAACUUCAGAUAACGUCUUAAGAACCAGUUUAGGUUACUCUUUUUCUGGCAUGUGCAGUGAGACAUCUAAGUUAGAGUUUCCAUAAUGCACCGGGCGCUGUUAAACAAGACAUAGAGGUGGUACUCAAACAAGAGAGAUCCUGCUGCUUGUAGCUGGACUGGAGGAUCAAACUGGUUUGAAAAGCUCUCUGGCAGUAAGUGCACCUGCUCUUUCACCUAUUGUGCUGUUUGUUGGUGUUUGGUUUUUUGCACCAGUAUAGUCAAAGGGAGAAGGAAUCUGUUCUAUCUGAUUUUCUUGGUACCCUUUCCAAUAGACAAGGAGAAAGCUGGUAUGAUGGAAUUCAAAGGUCUAAUUUCUAGAUUCCUACUCAGAAUCUCUUAGCUUUAUGCAACUGCAUGCUAAUUCACAUUCACUUUGAUGUUCUUCCCUGGUGUUUUCUAGAUUGAGUUGCUGAAGCUGUAAAAGGACGAUUCCUUGAAUUCUUUGCUUAAUUUUGGCCUUCUUUAUCUCUGUGGAUGACAUCUCUAUAUCAAUGUUUCGUUCGUUUGUUUUUUUCUUUUCUCCUGAAGAAAUACAUAGAAAAAGGAAUGUAUUUUUUUCUGUGAAUGGAAUUUUCCUGCAAUGCAGAGCAUGCCAGACAUAAAAAAGUACAGCAGCUCUGACUGGAUAGUGCAGACCAGUUUUCUCUACACUGACAUGCCACACUUUUAAACAUGAACUCACCAACAGUAUCACAUUUGUACUUCUUAUUUCUCUGUGUUUUCUCUCAUGCCAACCUAAACCUGAUUCUUUUUGAAUUGGAGUCUAUCUUGCCCAUGUCGGCUUCCACACUAGAUUUUAAACAUUUUUUAAUUCAUUUUUUGCACCUAGGUCUACUGCUCAAAUACUUCAAGUAUUUUGAAAUGAACCUCAAGUUCCACAACUGCCCAAGCUGCUGACAAGUGAAUCCAGACAGCUUUUUCUCCACCACUGCGAAUACUUCAAUAAGUCUACAUUGAGGGUUUGCAUUUCCUCAUAGAUACUAUUAAGAGGUGAAAGAGUUGUGGAGGAAUUGUCAAUUGAUAGGACUAAAAAUGCCUCCCACAUUUCUACACCCUGUCUUGGAAGGUCAGCUUUCCAGUUCUUCAGACGCUAGCGGCGGUGGUAGGUUUCAUGUAAGUAAUGGUUGAAAGAAAACUGAUGAGAACACAAGGAGACAGCUGUGACGUAUGGUAGAAGUGAAAGGAAAAUACACAUUUUUAUGAAUGUGAACUUUCCUCAACUAAUUCUUUUUGCCAGAGCUCUCCAGACAGGAAGAAGCCAGCACAGUGGUAAUCUGCAUCUGCAGCUUUGGAGAGAAGAAAAAUGCUUCCUUGGCAAAUGGAACAAAAACCCUAGAAAAUUAAGGAUUAAUAUGUUCAUUUAUACAGAAGCAGUAUGAACAGACUAACAUGAAAUACAACCAACGAGGAUUCAUUUAGAAGACAAAAGAACCCUGGAAGGGAAGGUACUUAGCUUUGUUCAGAAUGCAAACUAUAACAUGCAGUUCUGGGAAUUGCUGAAUUGCACAGCAGAAUGUUAAAAGAAAUUACUUGAUACCACAAGAAGUGCACAAUCUGUGCCUUGAGAUCCUGAAGGUGCUUUCCUUUUCCUUUCUGCCAGGAGAAGAGUGGAACACUGGAUCUACAUGAAAGGUCAAAAGGAUCUGCUCUGAGUCAUCCUUCUCCAAGGAAAGCAUCUAUCUUUGCCUACUCUUCCCUUCUGUUCUUUAUGAAAGUCCUUCAAUUUUCAGUCUUUUGAAACCUUGGUUUCCCACAGCAAGAAGUCUCAGAGGCCUUUGCUGGUGCAUUUCCAAAGCAGAUGCCUGGUGAACAAGAAAUUGCAGCAGGGGAUAUCUCUUUGCUUCUCUUGGCUACUGAAAAAGAAAGAGCUGCAUCAGAAGAGAUGUCCUGAAAUAUGAUAGAAGAUAGUGGAGAGAGGUUGAAGGGUGAAUGAAAGCUUUUGUUUCAAAAGGUUGGAAUAUUGCUGAAGAUCUAAUUUCCAUAUUACUUCAGAAGAUGAACAGGACUGAAAAGUAAGUGAGCUGUGUUUCCAAGUAAGUCAUGUAUAUGUUUUUCGAUGUUGAUGUAAGUAUGAUACUUUGCCACAUCAUUGAUUCUAUGUGAAAAAUGUCAAUUUCAGGUGAUUUUGAUGGCAGCUGUAAAUAAAAAAGGACAAACUGAGUGAGCUGUGGAGUAUUU